Molecule: non-coding RNA, 540 nt
Organism: Phascolarctos cinereus (koala)
Lineage: Eukaryota; Metazoa; Chordata; Mammalia; Diprotodontia; Phascolarctidae
Source: RefSeq, a predicted model, not a curated record
UUUGACUUUUCCGUUCUUUAUUGCUGGAAUGACGCAAGUAGUUCGGCUUAUCCUCGGGCCCUUAGGGCUGCAGACCCUUAGACACCUGGCUGGACAAUUGCCUCUUGCAGGUAUUACAAACUCCCUCCUUAGCAGCCUUGGCAACUGAAGACUGGGAAACAAAUGUUCUCAUCACUGAAGUCCUAGGGACUGUCAAGUCAGCCAACUUAAAAAAUGCUGUGGUUUUAUUAAUAGAAAUGGCACUAAAGAAACUGCAUCAUCAUUUGACUUGCUGCUACACCGUAAGGACCACUGGGCCUUUCUACCUGGUCUAUAGUUGAACUGUCCCCUAUGUGUUAUUUCGCUCUAUUAGAAUGUGAACUCCUUGAGAGCGCUUACUUAUCUCUCGCUAUCACUAGUACUUAGCACAUGGCUUGGCAUGCUUAAUGUUUUUUUUAGUCUUUCUUUUAAUAUCAUUUGAGUUCAGAUUUAUUGGAAAAGUUGGCAUAUGUGACUUAUAUACCAAAAUAAAAAAAAUAGAGGUGAUGACAGUUGCUGUAA